This 292-nucleotide ribosomal RNA is filed under the name uncultured bacterium. RNAcentral describes it as "partial 16S ribosomal RNA". It matches the Rfam family "Bacterial small subunit ribosomal RNA", at positions 505 to 796 of the family's 1533-position model. The record is from RNAcentral.
GUGUCAGCAGCCGCGGUAAUACGUAGGGUGCGAGCGUUGCCCGGAUUUAUUGGGCGUAAAGGGCGCGCAGGCGGUACGGCACGUCCGUUGUGAAAUCGCUCGGCUCAACUGGGCGGGGUCAGCGGAUACGGCCGCACUCGAGCAAGCUAGGGGGCAAUGGAAUUCCCGGUGUAGUGGUGGAAUGCGUAGAUAUCGGGAGGAACACCAGUGGCGAAGGCGGUUGCCUGGAGCUUUGCUGACGCUGAGGCGCGAAAGCGUGGGGAGCGAUCCGGAUUAGAUACCCGGGUAGUCC